CUGUACUUCCGGUAGUCGUAGUCGAGCCUCUGCCGCCUGCCCUGCGAAAGCGAGGCCGCGCGGCGGGGGUGGGAUUUCGUCUACCGCGUCUUCAACUCGCCGCAGAGGACACCACACCCGUGGUGGCCAACACGGUCGAGGCGAAGUAACCCUUGCCUAUGAGUACCUUUUCGUUCCCUCGGCGGGCUCGCGCUCGCCGCUGGGCCCAUCCAUACCCCUUUACAGUAGUCGUAUACCUCUGAUCGUGGGCACUUGAAUCUUUA
Molecule: unclassified non-coding RNA, 263 nt
Filed under: soil metagenome
Description: partial internal transcribed spacer 1
Source: RNAcentral